This 252-nucleotide ribosomal RNA is filed under the name uncultured Bacteroidales bacterium. RNAcentral's name for it is "partial 16S ribosomal RNA". It matches the Rfam family "Bacterial small subunit ribosomal RNA", at positions 524 to 776 of the family's 1533-position model. Lineage: Bacteria; Pseudomonadati; Bacteroidota; Bacteroidia; Bacteroidales. The record is from RNAcentral.
UACGGAGGAUGCGAGCGUUAUCCGGAUUUAUUGGGUUUAAAGGGUGCGCAGGCGGUCUGUUAAGUCAGCGGUCAAAGCCCGGGGCUCAACCCCGGCCCGCCGUUGAAACUGGCAGUCUCGAGUUGGAGAGAAGUACGCGGAAUGCGCGGUGUAGCGGUGAAAUGCUUAGAUAUCGCGCAGAACCCCGAUUGCGAAGGCAGCGUGCCGUGCCGCCACUGACGCUGAGGCACGAAAGCGUGGGUAUCGAACAGG